Non-coding RNA from Danio rerio (zebrafish), 422 nucleotides. Lineage: Eukaryota; Metazoa; Chordata; Actinopteri; Cypriniformes; Danionidae. The record is from RefSeq and is a predicted model, not a curated record.
GCAGAUGUGUGGACACGACAGCUAUGAGCCAAACUUGGGACGUUUGGUUUUUAGCAGGUGGAGAGACCGUCUGGGCAGCAGAAACAAGACAACUAAUCAUAGUCAUUCUGUUCUCCUGGUGGUGAGGAUGUGCAGAGGCUGUAUUUGUGCAGCUGUAUUCACACAUACAAGUAGCCGACAAAGAGUUCUGGAGCAGGACAGACAGGGCAGCACGGUGGCGCAGAGGGUAACACGUUUGCCUCACAGCAAGAAGGUCGCUGCUUCGAGCUUCGGCUGGAUUGGUGUACGCUGAUGGUCUGCUGAGAAUUCUCCUGAGUUAAAGGGAUCCUCCUGUCAGACAACCUCUCCAAAGUACAAUAGGACUAGGUUCCCACUACAAGGAUUAGAUUUGGCUACUGCAGUCGUGGUUUGGGCCAGCCUCA